This is a non-coding RNA of Anas platyrhynchos (mallard), 673 nucleotides long. The record is from RefSeq and is a predicted model, not a curated record. Lineage: Eukaryota; Metazoa; Chordata; Aves; Anseriformes; Anatidae.
CCCUACCUCCUUCUCCCCAUCUGUUUUCUAACUGUAUGAAAUCAUAGGGCUGGCAACUUCCCUCUUCUCUAAACCACCAACAAUUUAACAUUUCAACAUAUGCAUAACUGGUGCAACGUGGAAUGGAAACAGACGUUCAUCACAAUGCAAGCCCAUCAUCACAGCCAGAUGGAGGUUAAGCCUCUACCACAAAUUAAUCUGAAUUAUCUUUGCCUGCUGCAUUCAUGCUUUGUGUAUCCUGAAAUCAUCCUCAACUCAGUGGAAAGCAUCAGGUUGUACAGUUAUUUCACUGGACUGCAGGACUACAUUGUGCAACUAUCCAAAACCACUGGGCAGCUCAUAUGAACAAAUGGAACAGUAAUUUCAGGGCAACUGGUUUCAUUAUUGAUGUGGACUACAAAACCUGCUUAGGUAAAACCUGAAGCAGCUGUGACACCUGCCACCUACUCAGCUGAUGCAAUUCCACUUUUGAAGCAGUACUACCAAGUAUCACAUAUGAUUUAUUUAUUUAUUUUUGUCUCCACACAUAAUAAGAGGUGGGCUUGCGCAGGCAAAUGGGUAUCCACAGCAGAAUGCCAGGAGGAAAAGGGCCAGCUGUUUGUCUUUUUCCUUCUACUCUUCCAGGGUCUCUAGAGUUAAAAAAAAAAAAACAACAACAACAAAAAAAAAAAAA